AAGAAUGGACUUGGAUGCCUUCUUGUGCUUCCAUAAUCAAACUCAGCUACCAAAUACCAGGCAACAAAAAAGAAAUAAAAUUUUAGAACUAGGAAAGACUCGAACUUUUCAGUUAAAGCUUAACGACACUGAUGAAACUCAAAUCUCGAGUAAAAACUCAAAGUUCAAGCUUUUUUAAGGUGUUUAAACUUGUUUUUUCAGUAAAGGAUUGGGUUCUUGUAAAGUCCCGUAAAUUUUUUUGGCUUAAAAUUUCGGUGGUAGCAAGUUUAACAUUAGUAUUGUGCUCGAGAGUUAUAAGACCCACACGGUCUAAACAGAGUACUAAAAAUAUGUCAAACUGGUCAUGCUAUAAAGUGAAGGGCCAAACUAGGUGUUACUUAAUUAUUUUUCUGGAAAGUGAUAUUACAAGGAUAUAAUUAAUAUUAUUUCUUUACCAAAAAAGGGGUCAUGUGAUAGGAAGCGACUAAGGGAGAACUAAUUAAGUCUCACAAGUGAGCCUUUCUGUAUAUGCCCAGCAUUUUGAGUAAUGAUAGAAACACUAAGGUCAUAGUUGACCUUACACCAUUUAUGAAAGCAUGUGGAAAAGAACAAAUUAAUUAAAAGCCAAAAGGAUAUGUGUUUACCCUUUCAAACACUACAGCAGCAACAGAUAGAAAAGAAAUAUAUGCCCUAGUGCUUUUAGUUUCAGCGGCGUAAUGGAGCAUUAAGAGAAUUAACUGUGCAAUACUUAUUGUUGGGGGUUUUGACGGAUGUUGCCACUGUCCCACGGAUAUAAAACAUCAGUUGUUCCAUAGACUUAGAAUCACAUAUCACCAUCAGUGUAUUUCCAAGAUUGAAUUGUCAAUUGUUGUUGGCAAGCGUAGAAGUUAAACUUGCUAGAAAGGAGAAUCUUAAGGUGCCAGUUUUGCAGACAAACAAGCUUCAGGCUAGAGAUCAUCGCUCGCCGUGCUUUUGGUAGCUCCACUUCUUGCUUUCGGUGGGGACUCAUAUAUGUUUAUUCAUUUAUUCCUUUAUUUAGCAUUUGUUUUGGGACUAGCCAGGAACCGAUGUCCUGUGCAUUUCGUUUAGUACUCCAGUAGAGGCUUCAUAUACGUGUUUUAGUUGAUAACGGUACUUGGUAUCAUUUUCAGUACGUUUCAGUAUUUAUGGAUUUCGAGAUUCAUUUGGAUUA
Long non-coding RNA from Lycium barbarum (goji berry), 1171 nucleotides. RefSeq lists it as uncharacterized. The record is from RefSeq and is a predicted model, not a curated record. The transcript is spliced from 3 exons. Lineage: Eukaryota; Viridiplantae; Streptophyta; Magnoliopsida; Solanales; Solanaceae.